This 1041-nucleotide ribosomal RNA is filed under the name Petrobius brevistylis. Its description in RNAcentral is "SSU rRNA". It matches the Rfam family "Eukaryotic small subunit ribosomal RNA", at positions 84 to 1122 of the family's 1831-position model. Lineage: Eukaryota; Metazoa; Arthropoda; Insecta; Archaeognatha; Machilidae. The record is from RNAcentral.
AAACCGCAAACAGCUCAUUAAAUCAGUUAUGGUUCCUUGGAUUUAAGUUAUCAUACUUGGAUAACUGUGGUAAUUCUAGAGCUAAUACAUGCAACUAAGCUCCGACCUUACGGGAAGAGCGCUUUUAUUAGAUCAAGACCAAUCGGGGUAUAUCCUCGUUUGCUUGGUGACUCUGAAUAACCUUAUGCUGAUCGCACGGUCAAGCACCGGCGACAUAUCUUUCAAAUGUCUGACUUAUCAACUGUCGAUGUGAUGCUAUGAGCCUCACAUGGUCGUCACGAGUGACGGGGAAUCAGGGUUCGAUUCCGGAGAGGGAGCCUGAGAAACGGCUACCACAUCCAAGGAAGGCAGCAGGCACGCAAAUUACCCACUCCCGGCACGGGGAGGUAGUGACGAAAAAUAACAAUACGAGACUCAUCCGAGGCCUCGUAAUUGGAAUGAGUAGAAUUUAAAAGAGUAUACGAAUAUCUAUUGGAGGGCAAGUCUGGUGCCAGCAGCCGCGGUAAUACCAGUUCCAAUAGCGUAUAUUAAAAUUGUUGCGGUUAAAAAGCUCGUAGUUGGACUUUGGUCUCGGACAGUCGGUUUCACUUGCCGGUGUACACUGACUGGUCCGGACGUACUGCCGGUUCGUCCUCGGUGCUCUUCACUGAGCGUCUUGGGUGGCCGGCACGUUUACUUUAAACAAAUUAGAGUGCUUAAAGCAGGCUCUAUGCCUGAAUAAUGGUGCAUGGAAUAAUGGAAUAGGACUUCGGUUCUGUUUUGUUGGUCUUAAGAACUUGAGGUAAUGAUUAACAGAGACAGACGAGGGCAUACGUAUUGUAACGGGAGAGGUGAAAUUCUUGGAUCGUUACAAGACGAACAAAGGCGAAAGCAUUUGCCCAGAAUGUCUUCAUUAAUCAAGAACGAAAGUUAGAGGCUCGAAGGCGAUUAGAUACCGCCCUAGUUCUAACCAUAAACGAUGCCAGCCAGCGAUCCGCCGAUGUUACUUGAUGACUCGGCGGGAAGCUUCCGGGAAACCAAAGCUUUUGGGUUCCGGGGGAA